Molecule: transfer RNA, 66 nt
Filed under: Lype reducta
Lineage: Eukaryota; Metazoa; Arthropoda; Insecta; Trichoptera; Psychomyiidae
Description: tRNA-Phe
Source: RNAcentral
AUUUAAAUAGCUUAUAUUUAGAGUUUAAUAUUGAAGAUAUUAGGGAAAUUGAUUAAUUUUUAAAUA